CCUACGGGAGGCAGCAGUGAGGAAUAUUGGUCAAUGGCCGUAAGGCUGAACCAGCCAAGUCGCGUGAAGGAAGAAGGAUCUAUGAGUUGUAAACUGCUUUUGUACGAGGGUAAAUCCCGAUACGUGUAUCGGGUUGAAAGUAUCGUACGAAUAAGGAUCGGCUAACUCCGUGCCAGCAGCCGCGGUAAUACGGAGGAUUCAAGCGUUAUCCGGGUUUAUUGGGUUUAAAGGGUGCGCAGGCGGACUGGAAAGUCAGCGGUAAAAUCGAGAGGCUCAACCUCUUUCCGCCGUUGAAACUGUCGGUCUUGAGUGGGCGAGAAGUAUGCGGAAUGCGUGGUGUAGCGGUGAAAUGCAUAGAUAUCACGCAGAACUCCGAUUGCGAAGGCAGCUUGCUAGGCCGGAUCUGACACUGAUGCACGAAAGCGUGGGGAUCGAACAGGAUUAGAUACCCCGGUAGUC
This 459-nucleotide ribosomal RNA is filed under the name uncultured bacterium. RNAcentral's name for it is "partial 16S ribosomal RNA". It matches the Rfam family "Bacterial small subunit ribosomal RNA", at positions 338 to 795 of the family's 1533-position model. The record is from RNAcentral.